RNAcentral lists this ribosomal RNA (483 nucleotides) under uncultured bacterium. RNAcentral's name for it is "partial 16S ribosomal RNA". It matches the Rfam family "Bacterial small subunit ribosomal RNA", at positions 28 to 523 of the family's 1533-position model. The record is from RNAcentral.
GACGAACGCUGGCGGCGUGCUUAACACAUGCAAGUCGAACGAUGAAGCCGGAGCUUGCUCCGGUGGAUUAGUGGCGAACGGGUGAGAAACACGUGAGCAAUCUGCCCUUGACUCUGGGAUAACUGCGGGAAACUGUAGCUAAUACCGGAUACGACACCUUGGGGCAUCCCAGGGUGUGGUAAGAAUUUCGGGCAAGGAUGAGCUCGCGACCUAUCAGCUAGUUGGUGAGGUAAUGGGUCACCAAGGCGACGACGGGUAGCCGGCCUGAGAGGGUGACCGGCAACACUGGAACUGAGACACGGUCCAGACUCCUACGGGAGGCAGCAGUGGGGAAUAUUGCACAAUGGGCGAAAGCCUGAUGCAGCAACGCCGCGUGAGGGAUGAAGGCCCUCGGGUUGUAAACCUCUUUUAGCAGGGAAGAAGCGAAAGUGACGGUACCUGCAGAAAAAGCACCGGCUAACUACGUGCCAGCCGCCGCCGUAA